AGUUUGAUCAUGGCUCAGGAUUAACGCUGGCGGUAUGCCUAACACAUGCAAGUCGAACGGAAUACUCGAAAAGAGAAUCUCACACUAGUGAGAGGUUCUCCAACCGAGUAUUUAGUGGCGGACGGGUGAGUAACACGUUGGAACCUGCCCCGAAGUGGGGAAUAACUGCUCGAAAGAGUAGCUAAUACCCCAUAGUAUCCGGUUUAUCCGGAUUAAAGAUUUAUCGCUUCGGGAGGGGCCUGCGUCUGAUUAGCUUGUUGGCGGGGUAAAAGCUCACCAAGGCGACGAUCAGUAGCUGGUUCGAGAGGAUGACCAGCCACACUGGGACUGAGAUACGGCCCAGACUCCUACGGGAGGCAGCAGUGAGGAAUCUUCCACAAUGGACGAAAGUCUGAUGGAGCAAUACCGCGUGCAGGACGACGCUUUUCGGAGUGUAAACUGCUUUUGUCGUCGAAGAUUAUGACUGUAGACGAAGAAUAAGGACCGGCUAACUACGUG
RNAcentral lists this ribosomal RNA (498 nucleotides) under uncultured bacterium. RNAcentral describes it as "bacterial SSU rRNA". It matches the Rfam family "Bacterial small subunit ribosomal RNA", at positions 10 to 507 of the family's 1533-position model. The record is from RNAcentral.